This 489-nucleotide ribosomal RNA is filed under the name uncultured bacterium. RNAcentral's name for it is "partial 16S ribosomal RNA". It matches the Rfam family "Bacterial small subunit ribosomal RNA", at positions 29 to 504 of the family's 1533-position model. The record is from RNAcentral.
AGUGAACGCUGGCGGUAGGCCUAACGCAUGCAAGUCGAACGGCAGCACAGUAAGAGCUUGCUCUUACGGGUGGCGAGUGGCGGACGGGUGAGGAAUACAUCGGAAUCUACUUUUUCGUGGGGGAUAACGUAGGGAAACUUACGCUAAUACCGCAUACGACCUACGGGUGAAAGCAGGGGAUCUUCGGACCUUGCGCGAUUGAAUGAGCCGAUGUCGGAUUAGCUAGUUGGCGGGGUAAAGGCCCACCAAGGCGACGAUCCGUAGCUGGUCUGAGAGGAUGAUCAGCCACACUGGAACUGAGACACGGUCCAGACUCCUACGGGAGGCAGCAGUGGGGAAUAUUGGACAAUGGGCGCAAGCCUGAUCCAGCCAUACCGCGUGGGUGAAGAAGGCCUUCGGGUUGUAAAGCCCUUUUGUUGGGAAAGAAAAGCAGCAGGUUAAUACCCCGCUGUUCUGACGGUACCCAAAGAAUAAGCACCGGCUAACUUC